UUAGAGUUUGAUCCUGGCUCAGAUUGAACGCUGGCGGCAUGCCUUACACAUGCAAGUCGAACGGCAGCGCGGGAGCAAUCCUGGCGGCGAGUGGCGAACGGGUGAGUAAUACAUCGGAACGUGCCCAAUCGUGGGGGAUAACGCAGCGAAAGCUGUGCUAAUACCGCAUACGAUCUACGGAUGAAAGCAGGGGAUCGCAAGACCUUGCGCGAAUGGAGCGGCCGAUGGCAGAUUAGGUAGUUGGUGAGGUAAAGGCUCACCAAGCCUUCGAUCUGUAGCUGGUCUGAGAGGACGACCAGCCACACUGGGACUGAGACACGGCCCAGACUCCUACGGGAGGCAGCAGUGGGGAAUUUUGGACAAUGGGCGCAAGCCUGAUCCAGCCAUGCCGCGUGCAGGAUGAAGGCCUUCGGGUUGUAAACUGCUUUUGUACGGAACGAAACGGUCUUUUCUAAUAAAGAAGGCUAAUGACGGUACCGUAAGAAUAAGCACCGGCUAACUACGUGCCAGCAGCCGCGGUAAUACGUAGGGUGCAAGCGUUAAUCGGAAUUACUGGGCGUAAAGCGUGCGCAGGCGGUAAUGUAAGACAGUUGU
This 594-nucleotide ribosomal RNA is filed under the name Variovorax sp. enrichment culture. RNAcentral describes it as "bacterial SSU rRNA". It matches the Rfam family "Bacterial small subunit ribosomal RNA", at positions 1 to 595 of the family's 1533-position model. Lineage: Bacteria; Pseudomonadati; Pseudomonadota; Betaproteobacteria; Burkholderiales; Comamonadaceae. The record is from RNAcentral.